ACGGAAGGCAGCAGUGGGGAAUAUUGCACAAUGGGCGAAAGCCUGAUGCAGCAACGCCGCGUGAGCGAUGAAGGCCUUCGGGUCGUAAAGCUCUGUCCUCAAGGAAGAUAAUGACGGUACUUGUGGAGGAAGCCCCGGCUAACUACGUGCCAGCAGCCGCGGUAAUACGUAGGGGGCUAGCGUUAUCCGGAUUUACUGGGCGUAAAGGGUGCGUAGGUGGUUUCUUAAGUCAGGAGUGAAAGGCUACGGCUUAACCGUAGUAAGCUCUUGAAACUGGGAAACUUGAGUGCAGGAGAGGAAAGUGGAAUUCCUAGUGUAGCGGUGAAAUGCGUAGAUAUUAGGAGGAACACCAGUAGCGAAGGCGGCUUUCUGGACUGUAACUGACACUGAGGCACGAAAGCGUGGGGAGCAAACAGGAUUAGAUACCCUGGUA
RNAcentral lists this ribosomal RNA (433 nucleotides) under uncultured Clostridium sp. RNAcentral describes it as "partial 16S ribosomal RNA". It matches the Rfam family "Bacterial small subunit ribosomal RNA", at positions 341 to 792 of the family's 1533-position model. The record is from RNAcentral. Lineage: Bacteria; Bacillati; Bacillota; Clostridia; Eubacteriales; Clostridiaceae.